CGCGCAUGGUGGAUUCACAAAUCCACUGCCUUGACCCACUUGGCCACAUCCGCCC
Molecule: transfer RNA, 55 nt
Filed under: Opuntia ficus-indica
Lineage: Eukaryota; Viridiplantae; Streptophyta; Magnoliopsida; Caryophyllales; Cactaceae
Description: partial tRNA-His
Source: RNAcentral